This 270-nucleotide ribosomal RNA is filed under the name uncultured archaeon. Its description in RNAcentral is "partial 16S ribosomal RNA". It matches the Rfam family "Archaeal small subunit ribosomal RNA", at positions 477 to 747 of the family's 1478-position model. The record is from RNAcentral.
CAGCACCUCAAGUGGUCAGGAUGAUUAUUGGGACUAAAGCAUCCGUAGCCGGCUCUGUAAGUUUUCGGUUAAAUCUGUACGCUCAACGUACAGGCUGCCGGGAAUACCGCAGAGCUAGGGAGUGGGAGAGGUAGACGGUACUCGGUAGGAAGGGGUAAAAUCCUUUGAUCUAUUGAUGACCACCUGUGGCGAAGGCGGUCUACCAGAACACGUCCGACGGUGAGGGAUGAAAGCUGGGGGAGCAAACCGGAUUAGAUACCCGAGUAGUCC